UAGUUCUGAUGUCUUCAUAAUUCUGUGAUACUUUUAUUAGUUUUUAAAUGCAAACAAAAAAUGGGACGAAUCCCUCCUUAAGAUUUGUCGUAAGAGAUUUUUUUUAUUUUCAAACUUAUGCAAAAAAGUUUUUUUUGUUAGAAGGACUACUGUUCUGUGAUUAGGCCUGGACUCUUUAUGAUGGAUUCAACCGAUGUCGACCUGUCGCAGUUCCCACCCUACACCGUUAUGUUGUGGAAAAAAUUUAUAGGAAACCCACAACUGUUAUAUAAUCUGUUUUGCACCAGCUAUCCGUCGGACCGUGUUCUGGAUAUGACAGGAAUUUGGAUCAACUCAAAACUGAAAGAGUUAAAGGUGAAUAAUUUAGAAGAACUACAGCGACUGAGAAAUGAUCUCUUGACAAAGCCUAUAUUAUUCCACGUCAAAGUAACGCACCUAACAAGAAAUGACUGUGAGGUCAUACUUGGACCGAGGAGCUGGACAAAGCAGUUUGUUGUCCUCGUUUGUUAUUUCAGUGGUUAGCUCUACUACAGUUUGGUAUCUCCGUCUUUUAUGUAGAGCAGUUUGUCGUCCUCGUAAACACCAGACAUCAAUCCAUUCGGGAAAUCCUCUCACACAAGCUCAAUGAGAUCACACAGAAAAUGCAAGAGGGUGAAAAGUUCUGUCUAAAGCUGGAUUUUGGUCCUCCUGUUCAACAGUGGUUCAGUGGAGUGGUGGAUCCAUACUUUUACUGGGAUAGUUCCCGCAGCAGCACUGACUUCGGACACAUGGAGAUCUUUAUCCACAACUACACCACGCCCAUAAAGCGCUGUAGUGAUCCACUUUUAAUCUUUCUCUGUUUUCCCUUCUGGUUGCUCUUUGGGGGCUCAUGCUACUGGAUUCACAGAAACAUAAAAUGCGCCGAUGACGUCUGUGAAUUCCAUGAUUGUCCCGUGCUGAUUAGAUGAAUGACGACGUGUUUGAAUCCCAUGGUUGUCCCAUGGUGAUUGGGUAUAUGCACUGAUGAAUUCCAGGAUUAUCCCAUGAUGAUUGGAUGAUUUCAAUAAAGAAGUGGGAUUACAUGUAAUAUAAGAGUUAUCACUGUAUCGGGAUUGAUGUUCCUCACGUUCAUGACAAUACUUGUGUUAUUUUUCAUAAACUUUUCGUCGAUAUUUCAAAAAAUAUAUGCUUAUAUAUACAUGAAUGUAAAAUUAAGAAUUUUUCCUUACCACAUUAGCGAUAUGUAAUAUUCAUAAUUUAUAUCUUCCAUUCUAGCGAAAAUAUUGCUGCAAGGUAUUUUUCAUUACAUAUAAGCAUGUGCCUUUGACACAUUUCGGCCAUGUUAUUUUUUGUUGUACGCUGUCAAAUGAAUUUAAUGCACGAUUUGCUUUAUAAUCAACUUAAAAACUGAAAAAAAAUGUUUAAUUUAUAUGGGAAAAAAUUGUAGCCGGUACUGUUCUUUUCUCAAUUAUGUUCAUGUUUUCUCUUUAAUCAAAACUACUGGUCUAGUUUCAACAAAAUACUUCUUAAAAGUAUUCAUCAUGUUGAUAUGAAGUAGAAUUUGUACAAAAUCUUAUAUGUGAAAAGAAAAAAAAAACACUUGCUGGUGCCUUCAACUCGAUAUAAAGAUAUGUCUACGACGUCGCAAUAUAUAUCACGAUGAUCUUGAAAUAAAAGAUACUGUCCUCCACAAAAAUUUGAAUUUUUCAAUUAAAUUUUGUAUAGAGGACAAUACAACAGAGUCUGACACAUCUGUAUCAUAUUUGGAUAUUUUACUA
This is an RNA transcript of Saccostrea cuccullata (small rock oyster), 1757 nucleotides long. RefSeq lists it as uncharacterized. The record is from RefSeq and is a predicted model, not a curated record. The transcript is spliced from 5 exons. NCBI's taxonomy places the organism in Eukaryota, Metazoa, Mollusca, Bivalvia, Ostreida, Ostreidae.